Molecule: long non-coding RNA, 22827 nt
Filed under: Zea mays
Lineage: Eukaryota; Viridiplantae; Streptophyta; Magnoliopsida; Poales; Poaceae
Description: long non-coding RNA (ZMAY_LNC000917)
Source: RNAcentral
CCGACGCCUACAACUAAACCAUUGGACUGGGAUGAGCUUCAUUUCCCUUCCGUCUUGUUUGGAUAUAGAAGGGUAUUGUGUACGGAGAUUGGGUUUUCUCUCCCCUUUUUUUUGUUUUCAUACAAAAUAAAAUAAAGCUGCUCUAAAGCAGCGUGCGGUUUUUGGACUCGAGAUGGUAUGAGUAUAUGUACGUGCUGUCCUUGUGUGAUUAUGUAUACCGUCAUGGUUUUCUUUGUGGGAAGAAAAAGGACAUUCUGUUUUAGAAUCCUAUGCAGGUUUGACUGAGAAUAAGGAAUUUUGCUUGCUCUCUUCGUUAUAAAAAUAAUUAUUCCUAUAUUAUUCGUGCUGAUUAAAAAAAGUUUUUAAAGUUUAACUAUAUUUAUAGAAGAUAUUAGCAAUGUUUGUAUUUUUAAAUAAUUUAUUAUGAAAAACAGGUUUACAGAUCCAUCUAAUUGUACUAAUUAUGUAUUAUAAAUACUAUAAUUUUCCUGUAUACAUUUAUUUAAAUUUAAAUAUAAUUAUCUUUUAAAAAUGCCAAGUUUUCGAGAAAUAAAUGUCAUCCUAGCACGCAAUCUGACAGCCACUGAAGUGUAACAUAGUAGCAUCAGACAAUCAGAUGUCACUCUCUCUGUCAAAAAAAAGCAACUGCAAAAUUUAUACCAAUCAAACUAACUUAACUUUGAUUAAAUUUGUUAAAAAUAUUAUUAAGAUACAUGUCAGUACUUAUUUAUAGGACUUUACUAGGUGAGUACCCGUGCGUUGCAACGGGAACAUAUAAUAACAUAGUAACUUAUAUACAAAAUGUGUCUUAUAUUGUUAUAAAAAAUAUUUCAUAAUCCAUUUGUAAUCGUAUCCAUACAUAAAUUUUGUUAUUUUAAUUUAGCUGUUUCACUGCUCCAUUACAACCAUCAGUAUCAUGCAGACUUCGAUAUAUGCCACGAUUUGCAUGGUCUCAUCAUUGAAGAGCACGUGUCACACCUGCCGGUAGAAGUUCCCUCGUACAUUGUCAGUCAUCAGGUACGCACCACCAUACACGCUUGCUUAAACAAAAAAGCAAGUGUAUGUGUUUGCGAAGAGAAUUAAAGGCAGGUCGGCACAAAAGCUACCCCGACGAUGGCGAGUGGUCAUUGUUGUCGGUCCUCCUCUUCGUCACCUCUGGUGUCAAGAUGACGCUAUAGUCCUUGAUAUAGUAGUCGUCGAACGCGCACGAUAUGGCGAGUACCGAUGACUCUUGGCUGGACUGUCAAACGAAGUGCACCCCGGGCUCAUCAGCGAGGUAGUACACCUAGCCGUUGCACCACCAGAUGUGCUACUCCUCUACAUAAAUCUUGUACGAGGACACUCACACAACGUUAGCAACGACCGUCGUCCCAUCGCACAAGAAUUCAUGACCGGUCAGUAGUGACUUACGUGGGAGGUUGAGCUUUAGGUGGAUGAUGAGCUGGACGGUGUGACGGCGUCGUUGUCAGAUGCGGUGCCCAGAACAACCAUGAGGUCCCCCUAUUUGAAGAUGGACAGCGCGGUGCAGCCGCUCUAGACCGCGUCCAAGUGGCGGCUACGCCGGAGCUUGCCGAACACAGCGACGCAUGUGGUCACAUAGUACUGCUUCCAGAGGUCGAACUGGCAGUCGCCAAGCUUCUUUUCGUCGUCGAUGAGCGAUGCCAACGCGAGCGCCUCCUGCCAGUGGUGUUUGUUCGAGGUUUCCAAGUAGGAAACAUGGAUUCAUCUUUGGCAUUGGUUUAUGAAAAUGACUCACAAGUCAGAGCCAUGGAAAAAUAUUACGGAGAAUAAAUGUCACACAUAUAAAAAAGAAUUUAAGUUGAAAACAUUAUUCAAACAAAAGAAAUUGCAUGCAAGGCUCUUUUUUAAAUACUACUCCCUCCAUUCAAAAAUAUAAUUCAGGAAUCUCGUUGAUAAUUAUAUACUACUACAUAUUGUGCAAAGGUAGCAGGUGGGCUUUGGGAGAGAUGUAGUAUAUAUUUUUAUUGUAACAAAUAUUGACAUAAACACAUAUGUGGUGUAGUGGUAGCUACGAGCACAUUUGCUUGAGAGGUCGCAGGUUUGAAUCCCAUUGGAGCCACAUUUGUGUUUUUUUAAUUUAAUUUUAGCUACGCGUGGGAUGCACGUGGGAAUGGGAUUUGCGGGGAGGGGGUGAAAGGGAAAUGUGCCCUUGGGCCAUUUCUAAGUAUUUUGGUGAUUUAGUGUCCAACACAAGUGCUUAAGUGUUAAACUAUGCCAAAUGGUGGACAAAGUGCAAAUCAAUACAAAGGUAUGAUUCUAGACUUAGUACAUUGGUUUUUGUGUACUAACAUAUUUGUCUAAGUGCUAGAAUCAGAGAAAAGACAAUUGGAAAAGACUUGGCUCGAGCAGCCAAGACUCUGCUCAGUCUGGGUGCAGCGGACUGUCCGGUGGUGCACCGGACAGUGUCCGGUGCGCCAGGCUGGCUCUAGUGAAAAGGCCGCUCUCGGGAUUUCAUCGGCGGCGUACGGCUAAAAUUCACCGGACUGUCCGGUGAGCCAACGGUCGGCCGCGCAAUCCGCGCGUGACGCGUGGCCGGGCCAACAGUUAGAAGGGGGCACCGGACUGUCCAGUGUGCACCGGACAAUGUCCGGUGCGCCAACGGCUCCAAGUCUCCAACGGUCGGCUGCGCUAGAAUAGGAAAGAAAUCCGCACCGGACAGUGUCCGGUGGUGCACCGGACUGUCCGGUGCGCCAGUCGACAGAAGGCAAGAAUUGCCUUCCUGGAAUGCUCUAAACGGCUCCUAACUGCCUUGGGGCUAUAAAAGGGACCCCUAGGCGCAUGGAGGAAUAUACCAAGCAUCCUUUGAGCAUUCCUAAGCACCAAGACCUCAUUUCCGCGCAUUCGAUUCUUUGUGAUAGCAACUAGAGCUCAAAUUGAGUAGAUAACUCUUCGAGUUGUGUUGAGAGAUCGUGUUGUGACUUGAGUGCGUAUUGCUGCUCUGAUUUUGUGUCUUGUGUGUGUUGCUCAUCCCAACCUUACUUGCGUGCUUCUUUGUGAUAAUCAAAUUGUAAGGGUGAGAGGCUCCAAGUUGUGGAGAUUCCUCGCAAGCGGGAUAUAGUGAAACAAAGCAAAACACCGUGGUAUUCAAGUGGGUCUUUGGACUGCUUGAGAGGGGUUGAUUGCAACCCUCGUCCGUUGGACGCCACAACGUGGAGUAGGCAAGUGUUGGACUUGGCUGAACCACGGGAUAAACCACUAUGCCUCUCUGUGUUGAUCUCCUUAUGGUUAUUGUGUUUUGCAAGAACUCCUCUCUAGCCACUUUGCUUUAUUGUGCUAACUCCUAAUCAAGUUUUGUGGCAUUAAGUUUCAAGUUUUUACAGGAUCACCUAUUCACCCCCCCUCUAGGUGCUCUCAAUUGGUAUCAGAGCUGUUCUCUUCAAGAAAGGGACUAAUCGCCCGAAGAGAUGGAUCCUAAGGGAAAGAGGAUGGUGGUCAACGACAAUGAGAAGGAGUCCAUCUUCAACGAGCCAAGGGAUGGCAAAGUCAAUGACUCCGGCUCAAGUCAAAAGAAGAAAGAUGGAAAGAAGAAGAGGCGCAUCAGGAAGGUUGUCUACUACGACAGUGACGAAUCCUCCUCUUCUCAAAAGGACGAUGAAUACGAGGAGAAAAAGAAAACGGUUAACUCAAACUUUUCUUUUGAUUACUCUCGUAUUCCGCAUAAUUCCAAUGCUCAUUUGCUUUUAAUUCCACUUGGUAAACCUUCUCACUUUGAUGGAGAGGACUACGGAUUUUGGAGUCACAAAAUGCGUAGUUAUUUGUUCUCUCUUCAUCCAAGUAUAUGGGAGAUAGUAGAAAACGGAAUGCAAUUUGAUAGUUCGGAUAAUUCUAUGUUUAUCAAUGAACAAAUCCAUAAGAAUGCAUAAGCUACUACUGUUCUUUUAGCAUCUUUGUGCAGGGAAGAAUACAAUAAGGUGAGAGGCUUGGACAAUGCCAAGCAGAUCUGGGACACCCUCAAGAUCUCACAUGAGGGGAACGACGUCACCAUGCUCACCAAGAUGGAAUUGGUGGAAGGCGAACUAGGAAGGUUCGCGAUGAUCAGGGGAGAUGAGCCAACCCAAACAUACAACAGGCUCAAGACCCUCGUCAACAAAAUAAGGAGCUAUGGAAGCACGCGAUGGACGGACCACGACGUUGUCCGACUUAUGCUAAGGUCUUUCACCGUCCUUGAUCCUCAUCUUGUUAACUCUAUUCGGGAGAAUCCUAGGUACACCAAGAUGACGCCCGAGGAAAUACUUGGAAAGUUUGUAAGCGGGCGGAUGAUGAUCAAGGAGGCAAGAUACGUUGAUGAAGCGUUGAAUGGACCAAUCCACGAGCCUCAAACCGUUGCUCUUAAAGCAACAAGGAGCAGGGAGGCGCUACAUAGCAAGGUGGCGCAAGUUGAGGUGGCCGGGCUUAACGAAGAAGAAAUGGCCCUCAUCAUCAAGCAUUUCAAGACGGCACUCAAAGGUCGCAAGGAGCAUCCCAACAAGAGCAAGACGAAGGGAAAGCGCUCCUGCUUCAAGUGUGGUAAGAUUGGUCAUUUUAUUGCUAAUUGCUCCGAUAAUGAUAGUGACCAGGAUCAAGAAAAGAAGAGGGAAAAGAAGAAGACCUACAAGAAGGCUAAGGGCGAGGCACACCUUGGCAAGGAGUGGAACUCGGAUUGUUCAUCGUCCGACUCCGACGACGAAGGACUCGCCGCCUCAGCCUUCAACAAAUCGUCCCUCUUCCCCAACGAGCAUCACACAUGCCUAAUGGCAAAAGAGAAGAAGGUAAGUACUCGAAAUAGUACUACAUAUGCUUCUUCAAGUGAUGAUGAAUCUAGUGAUGAUGAAAUAGACUAUCCAUAUUUAUUCAAAGGAUUAGAUAGAACUAAAAUUGAUAAGAUCAAUGAAUUGAUUGAUGCUUUGAAUGAGAAGAAUAGACUUUUAGAAAAGCAAGAAGAUCUUUUAUAUGAAGAGCAUGAUAAAUUUGUAAGUGCGCAAAAUUCUCUUGCUUUAGAAGUUAAAAGAAAUGAAAUGCUUUCAUGUGAAUUGUCUACAUGUCAUGAAUCCAUUUCUAGCUUAAAGAGUAUCAAUGAUGACUUGAAUGCUAAGUUAGAAAUAGCUAAUAAAUCAAUCUCUUGUGUAGACCAUGUUGUGAUUUGCAAUAGGUGUAAAGAUUUUAAUGUUGAUGCUUGUAGCGAACACCUAGUUUCCAUUUUAAAAUUAAAUGAUGAAGUGACUAGUCUUAAUGCUCAACUUAAGACUAGCAAAAGUGAAUUUGAUAAACUAAAAUUUGCAAGGGAUGCCUACACUAUUGGUAGACACCCCUCAAUUAAGGAUGGACUUGGCUUUAAGAGAGAAGACAAGAACUUAACAAGUCAUAAGGCUUCCAACUCCGCCAAGGAGAAAGGGAAGGCCCCUAUGGCUAAUAGUGCUAAAAAGAACCAUGCUUUCAUGUACCAUGAUAGGAGAUAUUCUAGGAAUGUUCAUAGGAGUUGUAAUGCUUAUGGUUCAAAUGCAAUGCUUGCUUCAAGUUCUUCCUAUGUGCAUGGUAGAGAGAUGUCUAGAGAAAAUGUCAUUCAUCAUGUUCCUAGAAAAAUUGUUAAUGAACCAUCUACAAUCUACCAUGCUUGCAAUGCUUCCUUUGCAAUUUGUAGAAAGGAUAGGAAGGUGAUUGCUAGGAAAUUAGGGGCAAAGUGCAAGGGAGAUAAAACUUGCAUUUGUGUCCCUAAAACCAUUGUUACUAACCUUGUAGGACCCAACAAGAGUUGGGUACCUAAAGCCCAAGCCUAAAUUGUCUUGCAGGUUUAUGCAUCCGGGGGCUCAAGCUGGAUUAUCGACAGCUGAUGCACAAACCACAUGACGGGGGAGAAGAAGAUGUUCACCUCCUACGUCAAGAACAAAGAUUCCCAAGAUUCAAUCAUAUUCGGUGACGGGAAUCAAGGCAAGGUUAAAGGUUUAGGAAAGAUUGCUAUUUCAUCCGAGCACUACAUUUCUAAUGUGUUUUUAGUUGAGUCGCUCGGGUAUAACUUGUUGUCUGUUAGUCAACUUUGUAAUAUGGGAUAUAAUUGCUUAUUCACUAAUGCAGAUGUGUCUGUCUUUAGAAGAAGUGAUGGUUCAUUAGCUUUUAAGGGUGUACUAGACGACAAACUUUAUUUAGUUGAUUUUGCAAAAGAGGAGACCGGUCUAGAUGCAUGCUUAAUUGCUAAGACUAGCAUGGGCUGGUUGUGGCAUCGUCGUUUAGCACAUGUGGGGAUGAAGAACCUUCACAAGCUUCUAAAGGGAGAACAUGUUUUAGGUCUAACAAAUGUGACUUUCGAAAAAGAUAGACCUUGUGCAGCGUGUCAAGCAGGUAAACAAGUGGGAAAUGCUCAUCACAGCAAGAACGUGAUGACCACAUCAAGACCCCUGGAGCUGCUACAUAUGGACCUCUUUGGACCCGUCGCCUACCUUAGCAUCGGGGGAAGUAAGUAUGGUUUAGUAAUUGUUGAUGAUUUUUCCCGCUUCAUUUGGGUAUUCUUUUUGCAGGAUAAAUCUGAAACCCAAGGGACCCUCAAGCGCUUCCUAAGGAGAGCUCAAAAUGAGUUUGAGCUCAAGGUGAAGAAGAUAAGGAGCGACAAUGGGUCCGAGUUCAAGAAUCUUCAAGUGGAGGAGUUCCUUGAGGAUGAAGGAAUCAAGCACGAGUUCUCCGCUCCCUACACACCACAGCAAAAUGGUGUAGUAGAGAGGAAGAACAGGACACUCAUUGACAUGGCGAGGACGAUGCUUGGAGAGUUCAAGACCCCCGAGCGAUUUUGGUCGGAAGCCGUGAACACGGCUUGCCAUGCCAUAAACCGGGUCUACCUUCAUCGCCUCCUCAAGAAGACUUCGUAUGAGCUUCUAACCGGUAACAAACCCAAUGUUUCAUACUUUCGUGUAUUUGGGAGUAAAUGCUACAUUCUAGUGAAGAAAGGUAGGAAUUCUAAAUUUGCUCCCAAAGCUGUAGAAGGGUUUUUGUUAGGUUAUGACUCAAAUACAAAGGCGUAUAGAGUCUUCAACAAAUCAUCGGGUUUGGUUGAGGUCUCUAGCGACGUUGUAUUUGAUGAGACUAAUGGCUCUCCAAGAGAGCAAGUUGUUGAUCUUGAUGAUGUAGAUGAAGAAGAUGUUCCAACGGCCGCCAUACACACCAUGGAAAUUGGAGAUGUGCGACCAUAGGAACAAAAGGAGCAAGAUCAACCUUCUUCCUCAAUAAUGGUGCAACCCCCAACUCAAGACGAUGAACAGGUUCAUCAAGAAGAGGCAUGUGAUCAAAGGGGAGCACAAGAUAAUGAUGUUAUGGAGGAAGAAGCACCACAGGCCCCUCCAACUCAAGUUCGAGCGAUGAUUCAAAGGAAUCAUCCCGUCGACCAAAUAUUGGGUGAUAUUAGCAAGGGAGUAACUACUCGCUCUAGAUUAGUUAAUUUUUGUGAGCAUUACUCUUUCGUCUCCUCUAUUGAGCCUUUCAGGGUAGAAGAAGCCUUGCUAGAUCCGGACUGGGUGUUGGCCAUGCAGGAGGAGCUCAACAAUUUGAAGAGAAAUGAAGUUUGGACACUGGUGCCACGUCCCAAGCAAAACGUUGUGGGAACCAAGUGGGUGUUCCGCAACAAACAGAACGAGCACGGGGUGGUGACAAGGAACAAAGCACGACUUGUGGCAAAAGGUUAUGCCCAAGUCGCAGAUUUGGACUUUGAGGAGACAUUUGCUCCUGUGGCUAGGCUAGAAUCAAUUCACAUAUUGUUAGCCUAUGCCGCUCACCAUUCUUUCAGGUUGUUCCAAAUGGAUGUGAAGAGUGCUUUCCUCAACGGGCCAAUCAAGGAGGAGGUGUACGUGGAGCAACCCCCUGGCUUUGAGGAUGAAUGGUACCCCGACCACGUGUGUAAGCUCUCUAAGGCGCUCUAUGGACUUAAGCAAGCCCCAAGAGCAUGGUAUGAAUGCCUUAGAGACUUUUUAAUUGCUAAUGCUUUCAAGGUUGGGAAAGCCGAUCCGACUUUAUUCACUAAGACCUGUGAUGGUGACUUAUUUGUGUGCCAAAUUUAUGUCGAUGACAUAAUAUUUGGUUCUACUAACCAAAAGUCUUGUGAAGAGUUUAGCAGGGUGAUGUCUCAAAAGUUUGAGAUGUCGAUGAUGGGCGAGUUGAACUACUUCCUUGGGUUCCAAGUGAAGCAACUCAAGGAUGGCACUUUCAUUUCCCAAAUGAAGUAUACGCAAGACUUGAUCAAGCGGUUUGGGAUGAAGGAUGCCAAGCCCGCAAAGACUCCAAUGGGAACUGACGGACACGUCGACCUCAACAAAGGAGGUAAGUCUAUUGAUCAAAAAGCAUACCGGUCUAUGAUAGGUUCCUUGCUUUACUUAUGUGCUAGUAGACCGGAUAUUAUGCUUAGUGUAUGCAUGUGUGCUAGAUUUCAAUCUGAUCCAAGGGAGUGUCACUUAGUGGUCGUGAAGCGAAUUCUUAGAUAUUUAGUCGCUACGCCUUGCUUCGGGAUCUGGUAUCCAAAGGGGUCUACCUUUGACUUGAUUGGAUAUUCAGACUCUGACUAUGCUGGAUGUAAGGUCGAUAGGAAGAGUACAUCGGGGACGUGCCAAUUCUUAGGAAGGUCCCUGGUGUCAUGGAGUUCGAAGAAACAAACUUCUGUUGCCCUAUCCACCGCUGAGGCCGAGUACGUUGCCGCAGGACAGUGUUGCGUGCAACUACUUUGGAUGAGGCAAACCCUCAGGGACUUUGGCUACAAUCUGAGCAAAGUCCCACUCCUAUGUGAUAAUGAGAGUGCUAUCCGCAUGGCGGAUAAUCCUGUUGAACACAGCCGCACAAAGCACAUAGACAUCCGGCAUCACUUUUUGAGAGACCACCAGCAAAAGGGAGAUAUCGAAGUGUUUUAUGUUAGCACCGAGAACCAGCUAGCCGAUAUCUUUACCAAGCCUCUAGAUGAGAAGACCUUUUGCAGGUUGCGUAGUGAGCUAAAUGUCUUAGAUUCGCGGAACCUGGAUUGAUGUGUAGCAUACAUGUGUCUUAUGCUUUGAUCAUGUUCCUUUAUGCAUAUUGUUGUUUAUUUAUGGUGCUCCCCGGACCUCACAAGUCCAUUUGCAAGUGAUGCACAUAUUUAGGGGGAGAUGUGCUACAACUUGACUCUUUGAGACUAACCAUGUGCGUGAGUGUUCUUAAGAUUAGUCUCAAAGAUGGAUUGAAAGGGAAAGGUGGACUUGGACCAUGAAAGACUUCCACUGCACUCCGAUGAGAGGGUAACUUACUCCAAGUUCAUCUCCAUGUCUCUUAUUGCCUUUUGCUCUUAAUUGACAAUUUUGGUGAGGCAAUGGGGUUUGAGGGCCAAGAUUGGUCCCGUUUUGGUGCUUGAUGCCAAAGGGGGAGAAAAUAAGGCCAAAGCAAGAAAUGGAUCAGCUACCACUUGAGAAUUUUGAAAAUAGAAGAGUAGAGUUUUGUUUUGUCAAAAUACUCUUAUUGUCUCUUAGUGCUAAAAGUCUGUCUGUCUCUUAGUGCUAAAAGUCUGUCUCUUGUGGGGAGAAUGUUUGAUUAUGGCAAAAGGGGGAGUUUUUGAAUCUUUGAUCAAUUUCUCUCGGAAUACCUCUCUUUAUGUCUCUUCAAGUGAAUUUGACUUAGAGAUAGAAAAUUGAGUUUGAUUUGUAAAAACAAACCAAGUGGUGGCAAAGAAUGAUCCAAAUAAACCAAAUUUGAAUCAAAAUCAUUUCUUGUUUGAAAUUGCAUUGAUACUGCACUUCUUUUAGUUGCUUUAUAUUGUGUUGGCAUAAAUCACCAAAAAGGGGGAGAUUGAAAGGGAAAUGUGCCCUUGGGCCAUUUCUAAGUAUUUUGGUGAUUUAGUGUCCAACACAAGUGCUUAAGUGUUAAACUAUGCCAAAUGGUGGACAAAGUGCAAAUCAAUACAAAGGUAUGAUUCUAGACUUAGUACAUUGGUUUUUGUGUACUAACAUAUUUGUCUAAGUGCUAGAAUCAGAGAAAAGACAAUUGGAAAAGACUUGGCUCGAGCAGCCAAGACUCUGCUCAGUCUGGGUGCACCGGACAGUGUCCGGUGCGCCAGGCUGGCUCUGGUGAAAAGGCCGCUCUCGGGAUUUCAUCGGUGGCGUACGACUAAAAUUCACCGGACUGUCCGGUGAGCCAACGGUCGGCCGCGCAAUCCGCGCGUGACGCGUGGCCGGGCCAACGGUCAGAAGGGGGCACCGGACAGUGUCCGGUGCGCCAAUGGCUCCAAGUCUCCAACGGUCGGCUGCGCUAGAAUAGGAAAGAAAUCCGCACCGGACAGUGUCCGGUGGUGCACCGGACUGUCCGGUGCGCCAGUCGACAGAAGGCAAGAAUUGCCUUCCUGGAAUGCUCUAAACGGCUCCUAGCUGCCUUGGGGCUAUAAAAGGGACCCCUAGGCGCAUGGAGGAAUAUACCAAGCAUCCUUUGAGCAUUCCUAAGCACCAAGACCUCAUUACCGCGCAUUCGAUUCUUUGUGAUAGCAACUAGAGCUCAAAUUGAGUAGAUAACUCUUCGAGUUAUGUUGAGAGCUCGUGUUGUGACUUGAGUGCGUAUUGUUGCUCUGAUUUUGUGUCUUGUGUGUGUUGCUCAUCCCAACCUUACUUCCGUGCUUCUUUGUGAUAAUCAAAUUGUAAGGGCGAGAGGCUCCAAGUUGUGGAGAUUCCUCGCAAGCGGGAUAUAGUGAAACAAAGCAAAACACCGUGGUAUUCAAGUGGGUCUUUGGACCCCUUGAGAGGGGUUGAGUGCAACCCUCGUCCGUUGGACGCCACAACGUGGAGUAGGCAAGUGUUGGACUUGGCCGAACCACGGGAUAAACCACUGUGCCUCUCUGUGUUGAUCUCCUUGUGGUUAUUGUGUUUUGCAAGAACUCCUCUCUAGCCACUUGGCUUUAUUGUGCUAACUCCUAAUCAAGUUUUGUGGCAUUAAGUUUCAAGUUUUUACAGGAUCACCUAUUCACCCCCCCUCUAGGUGCUCUCAGGGGGGAAUGAGAAAGACAGUGCGGGGAGGGGGUAAUGGGAAUGGCAGAACACUGGCGGGAAUGGGAAUGGGAAUGAGCUUUGCGGGGAGGGGAGAAUGAGAAAGACAGUGCGGGAAUGGGAAUGGCAGAACACGGAAUGGCAGUCUACCCCUUUAGUUAAAUUUAAAAAUGUUUGAUCUUAAAAUAAUAAGAAUAGCUUUUUUUGGAUGGGUAGCUAGAGUAGAUUUCACCAUCUUUGGAGUUGGAGGCAAAAUCGCGUAGAAGGGCAAACACACUGUCAGCGAAGGUUGAAUCUAAAUCCCUUAUUUUCUAAAAGAAUUUAUUUGUAGUCAAAGUCUAAAGUAUUUGGUUUAUGACCACCUCAAAACAGGGGCAAAGCUAGCCUUCUUUAGAAUGCAAUGCAGGAAUUUUAGAAAAAAACAGAAAUCACAUAAAUCAGUUAUUUUCGCAAGUGUUGGACACCAAAUUUGACACCUGGACGCUCGAAUGGUCCGCGAUUAGACUAAUUAAGUCGAUAGUCUGGUGACCAAUUGUGGACAGUCCGUUGACCUAUGACAUACCGCGAACAGUUCGCCACCUCGAGAGAGAUUCCCUAAGGUCACGUUCCCCACGAGCAGGGAUCUAGGGAUCAUAAGUGUUUAAUUAAAAAAGGCACCAACACUGUUGGGGACUUGUUCUCAAAUGCUAUGAGUUAAGAACAAGGCAACAUAGAAAAUGUUAAUCGAUUAAGUCCUUCGUCCUUCGAAGUAUUAUUCCCCUUAGGAUAUAAUGCUUUUCGGACGAAGGUUAUGAAAUGCGUACCUUCAUAAAUACACUAUACAGUGACGAAGGAUGAAUUGUAAGAAAUAUAAAGGACAACAUAAACAAUUAUAUAUUAUUAUCAUGUAUAAACAGAAAUAACAUUGAAUUACAAAUGUACCUUCAACUUGGAGGAGAUGAAAGUAUAAGCGUGACGCAAAAGUGAAUGCCAAAUCAGCGUGAACAGUACGGGGGUACUGUUCACCUAUUUAUAGGCACAGGACACAGCCUAUGCAAAAUUACAUUUAUACCCUUUACAUUUGAUAAUAGUUCUACAGUAAUCUAUUGAGGUCUGAAUAGCCUUUUCAUCUUUAAGUCGGUUUCAUUUUGUUGCUACCACGCCGAAGCUUUCCUGCUCACACCUUCGGCGCUGUAUCAACCUUCGUAUUGUUCUGGUUUGCUGUGAUACCGACUUGAGUCCGAAGAUGCCUGUUCACACAUUAAACUCCAUAAAUACUGUUAAAUCCUGUUUUUGAGGACCUUCGUAAGCCGAAGGCCCCCAACAGUAGCACCUCGCAAUAUUAAUUUAUUUUAAAAUAAUAAAUUUAGAUUGCGACAUGGACGAAGGAUUUACGCCGAAGGUCCGAAAAAACACCUUCCCUUUGCUAGAAUAGCAACAUUCACUGACAAGCGGGGUCUUUCAAUUUUCAACGCAUUGGGCGUAUAAAUACGGUCAUACCGCAAACUCAUUUGGCACGCUCUCUGGCUAUCUGCUCCCGCUCACUCGAUUUUUAGCUCUUGUGCACUAAGAUUUGCUGAGUUCUUAGUUUUGAAGCUUCGGCUUUGAAAACAGUUUUUUAGCGUCUCCGAAGAUGUCUGAAGAUAAGAAGGCUGUUACCGAGAUGAAAUUGAGUCUCGACGAAGAGAAAAAUCUGGGGUUUCUUAUAGCAAUGUCGAAGACCAACACAGAAAAAAUCACCAAGGAGAUUCUAGAAGGUUUGUCUAAGGAUACUGGUGACAGCGACAGUUAUGAUGUGGACAGCGGCGGUGAAGACUCCGAAGAUCGUCCCUGGCGACCAAGCCAUUCAGUUUAUGGUAAAUCAACUAUCAAAGAGAAUCAUCUUGUCAACAUGAGAGGAAGAUAUUUCCGGGAUUUGUCCGUUGUGAGGGCCGAUGAAGGGGAGAAGACUUGUCCACACCCUGAAGAGAAUGAAGUCGUAGUGUUCCGAAGCUUUUUGAAAGCUGGGCUGCGAUUUCCCUUAAGCAGCUUCGUCGUGGAGGUGCUGAAAAUGUUUGAAGUCUAUCUUCAUCAACUCACCCCCAAAGCAAUUAUAAGGCUGAAUAUCUUCGUAUGGGCCGUGAGAAGCCAAGGUCUGGAACCUGAUGCGAAAAGCUUCUGCAACAUACACGAAUUAUCAUACGAGACAAAACCUUGGGGUAAGGAACAGUAUCACAAUAACUUUGGCUGCUACAAUUUUGUUUCUCGGUCUGGGUCAAGCUGUCCCGUGCCAACCUUUCGGAAGAGAUGGCCCGGCGACUGGAUGACAGAAUGGUUUUAUGUGAAAAAUGAUCUGAAAACACGAGAAGAUAUCAAAGGUAUAAUUAUGCGCCCUAUUUGGCAAAGCUUCGGCCUUCGGAGGCCGAAGGUUGAAAUGAAUGAAGCUGCCGAAGAAUGCCAGAGAGCCUUCAGUGUUAUCUGUUCUUUUAUUGGAACUAGAGAUUUAGUACAAGAGCAUAUUGCCUUCAGGGUAUGGCCGCUCGCGGAGAAGUGGGAAAUGCCGCAGGAAACCAUAAAAGAGGCCAACGAAAGUGGACUUAUCAGGCUAAAGUACACUUUUAAGUUCGGAGAUAAAUUCGUUGAGCCAGAUGAUGACUGGUUAAAAAGUAUUGAAAAUUUAAGUGAUGAACUUCUUGGGGCUUAUUCGAAGGCCGAAGAUACUGCAAUGUCAGCAGCCUUCGGAGGCCGAAAAAAGAAGAGGCUGAAUCGAGUAUUUGAUGCAAUCGGGUUUGUCUACCCUGACUAUUGCUAUCCCAUUCGAAGGCAGAAGAGAAAAAACACAACCUCUGCAAAAGAAGAAGCUGUAAUUGCUCCUAGCGAGCCAGAACCGAAAAGAAAGAAGAUAAAGGUCCUCACACAUCGGCCGCGCUAUAUUGAACCAGCUUCGGUGCUUGAGUUUACCGGAGAAACUUCUUCGGCCACCGAGGCUAAAAAGCCAACCAAACCAACCUUGCUGCCAGAAGUUGCAGAAAUGGCCGAAGCGCCAAAAAGGAUAGAAUUGGAAGAACCGAAGAUUUUGCUACCAGAAAUCGAAGAAAUGGCCGAAGCGCCAUCCACAGAAAAAAUGGAAGAAGUGAAAAAACCAACUGAAGAAAAAACAUCAGAAGUUGUGAGUCCUGCAGCAAAUGUUGAGACAGUAAAAAGUCAAAAAGUGCCAGCAGUGACUCCGAAAAGAAAGAGAAUGGCUAAUGUGCUAGAUGUACUGGAAACAAUCAAAUCUUCAAGCACACCUCCGAAGAAGGCUGCUGCCAUUCCUGAAACAACAACUGAAAUUUCUGAUACUAAAGCUCCAGAGCAAGAAACUGAAGCCGAAGCUGGUUCCUCAGAGCCCGCGAAGAUAAAAUCCUUGGAAACUGAGGAAGAAAAAAUAACAAAGCCAACUUUUGUUGAAGAAAUCGGUGUCAUUGCCCCCGAAGCAUCCUCCAAAGUCCGUGAUUAUAUUGUUCGUCAUGCUUCGGGGAAAAAACUAUCAGAAAAAGAAGAGCAAGAGGCCCAGCGCUACGCCCAAAAACUGAAGUAUCCAAAGGGGGCGUUAAUAUUCAAUGGUAGUGGAGAAGAAGACUUUUUGUAUUGUCUCCCUGACAGCAAGGAGAUUUCUGUCUGCCGGGAGAUGAGCAAGAGCUUCGGAUUCCCAACUUUAGAAGACGGGCUCUCGGUGCUGUCGAAGAACGAUCUGGCCGACAGCCUGGCCUAUAAUAGCUUAAAGGUGCGACAAAUGGGAUCCUUGUAUUUUUUGUUGAGACCAAAAUUUUUCGUUUGUUUAAAUCUAUUGACACACACAUAUUUCUCUUUGCAGGGCCUGAUACUUAGCAAUGCCCUCAGGGCACAGAAGGAUGCUGAAGACGAAGGGUGUGCUAUAGCCCUGAGCAACCUUCGUUCCGAAGUAAUUGAACUGAGGAACGAAGGCCUCGAAAAAGAUAAAAUAUUACACUCAUUGAUAAAUAAAAUAAAGGAAGACGAAGCUGCUUUUAAAGGUCAAGCUGAAGCUCAGAAGCGCGAAAUUGAAGAUCUUCGGAAACAACUGGCCAGAGCCAAGGAAGAACGCAUACUUGAAGAAACAAGGCGAGAACUCAGCGACCAAUGGGCAGAUCACUUAGAAGGAACUGUUGAAGAGCUUCGUUCGUCCAAGAAGAGAUGCUAUAACAAAUCUAUAGAGUGUGUUAAGAAGUUAAAAGCUAGCUUCGCCAAAGUCGGCGCAUUCUCAAGCGAAGAGAACUUCACAAGAGGCAAUCCCGAAGGUCCCAUCGAAUGGAUCGACCACGAAGCUGAGGCCUUCGAGGAAAUUUUAAAUAGCCGUGGAGAUAUAUGUGCUUUCUCGGGUGCCAGAGGGAUUGCCACCAUUUUAGAGAAAAAGGGCUGCGAACACGUAAAGAUUCUAGCGCAAUCCGAAGCUGCUUUGUCCUUCGAAGAUGCAAGGGAUCCUUCGGCCGAAGCUAGCAUGGUUGGUGGAAAAUUUUUCACCGAUAUCUGGGAUAAUGGUGGCCGAGAAAUGGCCCGAGAAAUUAUUCGAAAAAGUGAAAAGGGCAUCCACGACGCUAGAGAAGUAGCUGAGACUGCUGAGAAGAGCGCAGAGCCCGAAGGGCAAUUAGGUAUUAACUAAUAGCUUUUAUUGUGUUGUAAUUUUUGGUUUUAAGCUUCGUCUGCCAUUUGUAAUAGCAAUGUAGCCGUAUCCUGUCCUACUUCAGAUCCUGCUAAAGCGUCUCCGGGCCCUCAGCCGAAAGGAGACGACGAAAUUAAAAAGAUGGCUGAAGCCAUUAUGGACGAAGUCGUCAAUCGGCUCCUGAAUGAGGCUGCAGAAGUUGUUCUGAGAGAAGAUUAAAUACUAUUGUAAAUUAAACUUCUGAAAUAUAAUAUGUGUGACAUCUUGUAGCCCUGAAUGUAAUAUACCUGCUUUUAUUAUUUAAUUCUUUACGAUGCAUGAAAUUUUACAUACGUACCGUUUUUGAGUCUUUGACGAAAAAACACCUUCCCUUCUUUUCAUGCUUCGUGAAGAAUAAUUUCCAUUUGUCACCACAAUAUUCGUGGUGCUCUGAUGAAUAAUAUCCAAGCUUCGUGAAAAUGUUCUCCGAAGCUACUUAGCAUGAUUUUCCCCUUUCAAAACAUUCUUCCGAAGAUCGAUGUCAUGUCCCCUUCUUGUGCCAUAUGCAGCAUGAUGUAUGAUGCUUAUGCUAUGCGAAAUGAUGCGAUGAUGUUAUGCUGUGUGAGAUGUUGUUUAUUCCGAAGAUACACACAUUCCUGCGACAAAACACAUAAUCUUUUGAAUCAGCAUUGUCAUUUUACUAUAAGCCUCCCUUAGGAGCUUCUUCGCCUUUUACUUCAGCGGAAUCAGCGUUUAUUUUUUGCUGUAAGCCUCCCUUAGGAGCUUCUUCGCCUUUUACUUUCAGCGGUAUUCGCGUUGACUUUUCGCGCUUCGCCUUUUACUUAGGCGGUAUCAGCGUUGGCUUUUCGCUGUAUGCUCUGCAUUCCCUUUGGAACGACUUUGGAGCAGAAAACUUACACUGCGCUCCCUUUGGAACGACUUUUUUGUGACUUCGGCAAACUUACUCUGCGUUCCUUAGAACGACUUUUUGUUGCUUCGAAGAAUUUUCGAUAGUUCGAAGGUCCUCUUUGUUAUCACAAGUCUUUCGACAAUUUAAGCCUGUGAAGAAAAUAUAUUUUCCUUGUGGGAAUCAACGAAACUAUUUACAUGAAACCUGAACAAUGUCCUUUAUUACAGAAAAUAAAACUGAAUGAAAAAGAUUGCUAUUAAGGUAGGAUAUUUGUCAAUAGAUGUGCUUUGACUCUGGCACAGUGCUGUUGACUGUGCGAGCUUCGGACUGUUCUCUGAAGUCCCUUUGGUGUGGAGCAUAUUGGCUCCCUUCUGGCUGCUGGCCUUGUUGCAGCGGUGGUGGAGGCGGAGGUUGUUGCCAGGAAGCCUAAGGUUGACUCGCCGAAGCAACAGAAACUGCAGGGUGAUUGCCUACAUACUCUGGGAUGUAAGGCGAAUGAUACGAAGCAGUGUGCAUGACCUGCUUCGGCUGAGCCUGUUGUGCUGCCGCUUCGGCUAUUUCUUUUUGCUUCUGGAUGGUAACAUGGCACAUCCUGGUGGUAUGACCUUUGUUCUCACCACAGAAUAAGCAAAAGAUUCUUCUCGGUUGAUCGCCAAAUCUUCCUCCGAAGCCCCUGGCGCCUCUGCCUCUUGGAGCUGGUGGUCGGAAGGAGCCUUGCUGUUGCCCCGAAGCCUGUGAGGAACAUUGUGGCCUUUGCUGUUGGCUCCCUCUAUCAUCAUUUUGUGUAGAGUUAUGAAUUGAUCUAACGUGCCUCGGGUAGAACCUCCCUCCGAAGCCCCUGGUCAUUUCAGAAAACCUGAAAGCCUCCUCCCUUCUUUGGCGAAAAUCAUUAUCGGCCCGAAUGUACUCGUCCAUCUUCUGGAGCGGCUUCUCCAAAGUUUGAGGAGGCUUCCUAGCGAAGUACUGAGCUGACGGUCCUGGCCGAAGCCCCUUGAUCAUGGCCUCAAUGACAAUUUCAUUGGGCACCGUUGGUGCCUGUGCCCUCAAACGCAAGAACCUCCGGACAUACGCCUGAAGGUAUUCUUCGUGAUCCUGGGUGCACUGGAACAGAGCUUGAGCAGUAACAGGCUUCGUCUGAAACCCUUGGAAGCUAGUUAACAACAAGUCCUUCAGCUUCUGCCAUGAAGUGAUCGUUCCUGGUCGAAGGGAGGAAUACCAGGUUUGAGCAACACUCCUGACAGCCAUAACAAAAGAUUUGGCCAUGACUGCAGCAUUGCCACCAUACGAAGAUACUGUUGCUUCGUAGCUCGUCAAAAACUGCUUCGGGUCUGAGUGGCCAUCGAAUACGGGAAGUUGAGGCGGCUUGUAGGACGGAGGCCAAGGUGUAGCCUGCAGCUCAGCGGACAGAGGAGAAGCAUCAUCAAAAACAAAAUUCCCAUGAUGGAAGUUGUCAUACCAGUCAUCUUCGUUGGGAAAACCCUCCUGAUGAAGGUCUUGGUGCUGAGGCCUUCGGUGUUGCUCAUCCUGGGCAAGAUGACGAACUUCUUCAGAGGCUUCGUCUAUCUGCCUCUGCAGUUCAGCUAGCCUGGCCAUCUUUUCUUUCUUCCUCUGCACUUGUUGAUGAAGCAUCUCCAUAUCUCUGAUUUCUUGAUCUAUCUCGUCCUCUGGUGGUGUCGGGCUGACAGCCUUCCUUUUCUGGCUUCGGGCCUCCCGAAGGGAGACUGUCUCCUGAUUGUGGUCCAGCGGUUGCAGAGCUGCAGCCCCAGUCGCUGAAGCUUUCUUCGGCGCCAUAACGAAGGUUUAUGAUCGCCGAAGGUGUUCAAAAAACUCAAAGAGUGGAAGUGAGUUCACCGGAGGUGGGCACCAAUGUUGGGGACUUGUUCUCAAAUGCUAUGAGUUAAGAACAAGGCAACAUAGAAAAUGUUAAUCGAUUAAGUCCUUCGUCCUUCGAAGUAUUAUUCCCCUUAGGAUAUAAUGCUUUUCGGACGAAGGUUAUGAAAUGCGUACCUUCAUAAAUACACUAUACAGUGACGAAGGAUGAAUUGUAAGAAAUAUAAAGGACAACAUAAACAAUUAUAUAUUAUUAUCAUGUAUAAACAGAAAUAACAUUGAAUUACAAAUGUACCUUCAACUUGAAGGAGAUGAAAGUACAAGCGUGACGCAAAAGUGAAUGCCAAAUCAGCGUGAACAGUACGGGGGUACUGUUCACCUAUUUAUAGGCACAGGACACAGCCUAUGCAAAAUUACAUUUAUACCCUUUACAUUUGAUAAUAGUUCUACAGUAAUCUAUUGAGGUCUGAAUAGCCUUUUCAUCUUUAAGUCGGUUUCAUUUUGUUGCUACCACGCCGAAGCUUUCCUGCUCACACCUUCGGCGCUGUAUCAACCUUCGUAUUGUUCUGGUUUGCUGUGAUACCGACUUGAGUCCGAAGAUGCCUGUUCACACAUUAAACUCCAGAAAUACUGUUAAAUCCUGUUUUUGAGGACCUUCGUAAGCCGAAGGCCCCCAACAAACACAAUUUUUUGUGACUCCAUUGGGAACGAAAGAUCAGAUCCAUCAAAUUAGAUCUAUUAGGUUAGAUUUAUUAGAUCAGCCGCAAUGGUCGAUCCUAAAGAUAACACUGAUGUUUCCCUAAGCAACAUCCUUAAGCCAACUUUUGGGAGUCUAUUGACCAAUUGACCAUCAGGAGUUUAAAGACUAUAUGAAGAAGCUAGAGAGGUGGUACCUCUCGCUCUUUAGAAUAAAUCGCCACUAGAAGGUCGUCUAGAAAAGGGAAGUAAACUUCGCUUCCUUGACAGCCUCGCUAUAGCCCCACUAUAAGUAAGACCAUGUCAAUAUUCAAUCUAUUAAGAAUUAUUUUGAUGACCGAAUUGAACUUAUGGUGGAGUGUCUUGAUAAGAUAGAGCGUGCAAUAGAAAAAAAUCAUAUGUCUAAAUUUCCGUCGUAUAAAUUGGGCACUAAAACAGCCACGCCAAACACAUCGAUAACAUAUGGGUUUUCUCAGUCCGAACAAUAUUAUGGUAAUGUCAAUGACCUCAUAUCCAGGGCAAACACUGCCGCCAUCUUCACUGUAUGGUAGGUCGACUCUGAGCAUGUCCGGACAAUCCGAGCACGACCUCGGAGUGUUCGACCUCUGUUGAACCACCCAACACUUUCUGCCAGACUGUCCGAGCCACAUCGAGCCUGCCACAUGGCUCGAAGGUGAUGCCUAGCACAACCGGACAACCCGGGUAUAACCAGCACAACCGGACAACCCGAGUAUAACCUCGGACCAUCCGGUCCCUCCCCGGUAUAUGCUGGACAGUCCAAAGCCACACCGAGCCGUCCACAUGACUCACAGGUGAUGCCUGAGAUAACCGGACAAUUCAAGCAUAAUCCUGGACCGUUCCGUACCUUCAGGGAUCGUCUGGCCACAUAGAGCAGACUGUUCGGGAACAUCUACGCAGAACAAGAUGCUGCCCACAACACACAAUUUUUCCCACCCAUCUUAGCAGCACUACUCUCUCUCACCUACAAUACAUCAAAGCCACAACAUUCCACCACCUAUGCAUGAGUCAAUAUUUUUUGGUCCCUUGGGAGCCAGAGAAAUUCAACCUAAUAGUGGGAUGCAUUGCCUGUAUUCCUCAGGGGCCUAUAUCGGAUGCCACCUUUAAUAGUUCUAGUGCAAAAGGUCGACAUGAGGAUAACGAGACACCCGAGCCCCAUGUUUCAAGGACCGAUGGGUUACCAUCGACCACUAUAGAUAAAGUUCAGGAAGAAAUAACCGAACUAUUUCAAGAUAAAUUAGGUGUUAGUGUAUCUGGUCCAGGACAAUCGUCCCAUACCCUCCGGGGACUAUUGUGCCGAAUUUACCCAAAUUCUCAGGUAAAGGCAGUAGAAGCACUCAUGAGCACAUGUGUCAAUUCCUAGCACAAUUAGGGGACUUGACCGACACAGAAGCUUGUCGUGUUCACAUGUUCUCAUUACCCCUUACUCGCACUUCAUUCGCUUGGUAUGAUACCUUGCCUCCUAACUCGAUGAGUUCCUAGGAUGAUCUAGAGCAUAAGUUUCAUGAACACUUUUUCUCUCGGGAUUACGAGUUAGAUUUAGCUGAUAUGGCAUUGCUCCAGUAAGGGGAUUAUCAAUCGAUUAAUGAUUAUAUCCGGAGGUUCCAGAAUACUAGAAACUGACGUUUUCAAAUCUAGGGCGUAUAUAAGCAACUAGCAGGGUUGGCUUUCAAUGGGAUGCGUCCAUACUUGAAAGAAAAAUUAUAUGGCACCCAAUUCUAUUCUCUAACUCAGUUGCAUCAGCGGACUUUGGCUUGCAAAAGCCGAAGCAAAGAACUAUCUCGUCAUCAUGACGUUAGUAGCUCAGAUAACGAGUCGAAAGAGUUACAUGUCACUGAGCUUAUUUGGCCUAUUAAGGCCAAACUUUUCGCUUGCUCUUCCCUGCAGUCAGUUCAAAGGAAUCGACAAGGAGAAGCUAAGUUCACAUUUAAUUUAGCUAAUUGUGACAAGAUAUUUGAUGAAUUAUUUAAAAGCAGCACCAUUAAAUUGUUUCACAAUUCCGUCGAUAGAGGAAUUGAAACGACGUGCUUGGCAUGGCUCCUUUUCUUAUGCCAGUAAUAAUUGUAAUAUCUUUCAUCGACAAAUACAAUCGAAUAUAAAUGAAUGCCAAUUGAGAUUUCUAGAAAAGUAGAUUGACAUGCAACCCUUCCCUAUCAACAUAGUGGAUUUGGUGGGUAAUAAAGUCUUGGUUGGGUCAGAUGUGGCCGAUAAAGAUGAAGGCAAGAACAAUGUCAUUGGCGAUCCUCGCACGCCAAGUCAGUUACAAGGAGUGGUUACUUGAAAGGCUCUGAACAAGAGAAUGACUAAUAAGACUCAAGGCCCUAGAGGGCAAACACGACCGGAUACCCGAUUACGAUCACAUGUCUUGUGUACGCAGGACGGUCCGGGACCUAAGGCCGAUCAGUCUAAGAAUGACCAAAAGCAACAACGACCUCAGACCUUUAGACCAUGACAUCUAGAAGAAGGUAUAUGCAAGCAAAAUACAUCUAAAGCAUCUGACUGACUCGUUAGUGCUAGCCCUUCUUUUGAACAACUUCUUUCUAAGUAUAUGAAUAAGAAGGUCGUUUCACACAAUUGAUCGACAAAACGAUCAAUAUCAUCCACAACGAGGAAGCAAUCCAUGCAAGGGCAAAAGCCGAAUAAAUCGGCCCAGGAAGUGGUGCAACCAAUGUCGCCUACUCAUCCGCUCUAGGAAUGUCGUGUUACUUUCCACCAGUCUACUCAUCGAUGAUGUUUUAUCCUGCUAACAUGUGAAAAAGUAUGACGAUGAAUCCGUAUUACACAGGGGCGGACGCAGAGGGAGGCAAAGUGGGUCAUAGCCACCUCAAUUUUUAUGAUAUUUUAUAUAUCAUGACGUGCAGUCUCUUUGCAACCCCAGCCACAUUAAUUAAUAGACUCCACCGACGAGCGACGAGUGAUGGUACCGGCCGCCGGCCCAGGCCAACCCAAGUGGAAAAGGCCGACGACUCCCGGACGUCUCAUCCUCACCGGACGCCACCAACCCCCGCAAUCUCCAGACGUACGAGCCGCCUAUUUAAAGCCCUCAGUCUGCCACUCUCAUGGCAACGCAAGCAGAAGCUACAAUCCUAAAACCAUCUGCUUCAGCCUUCAGCUAGCCCCAAGUUUAGUCGGCCGAUCGAUCACUGAAGUAGUAAUGGCCUCCGCCAACAGCUGGACCCUCGAGAUCGCGUCGCCGGUGGCUCCGCAGCGCCUGUUCCGCGCCGCCGUGAUGGACUGGCACACCCUGGCGCCCAAGGUCGCCUCCCACGUCGUCGCCAGCGCGCAGCCCGUGGAGGGCGACGGCGGCGUUGGCAGCGUCAGGCAGUUCAACUUCACCUCAGGUAAGUGCCCAGCCCAGGCCAGCAUGCUCUCUCUCUCUUUCGCCUGAUCGAUCAAACAGCUAAGCGCACGACGUCGUGCGGUCGCUCUUGCAGUCAUGCCGUUCAGCUUCAUGAAGGAGAGGCUCGAGUUCCUGGACGCGGACAAGUGCGAGUGCAAGAACACGCUCAUCGAGGGCGGCGGCAUCGGCGUCGCCAUCGAAACGGCGACGUCGCACAUCAAGGUGGAGCCCGCGGCCGGCGGCGGGAGCGUGGUGAAGGUCGAAUCCACUUACAAGCUGCUGCCGGGCGUGGAGGUGAAGGACGAGAUCGCCAAGGCCAAGGAGUCCGUCACCGCCAUCUUCAAGGGUGCCGAGGCCUACCUCGUCGCCAACCCCGACGCCUACAACUAAACCAUUGGACUGGGAUGAGCUUCAUUUCCCUUCCGUCUUGUUUGGAUAUACAAGGGUAUUGUGUACGGAGAUUGGGUUUUCU